This 429-nucleotide ribosomal RNA is filed under the name uncultured bacterium. RNAcentral describes it as "bacterial SSU rRNA". It matches the Rfam family "Bacterial small subunit ribosomal RNA", at positions 355 to 776 of the family's 1533-position model. The record is from RNAcentral.
UGGGGAAUAUUGCGCAAUGGACGAAAGUCUGACGCAGCGACGCCGCGUGAGGGAAGAAGGCCCUAGGGUUGUAAACCUCUGUCAGGAGGGAAGAAGUUUCAUGGUGCCAAUCAGCCAUGGAUUGACGGUACCUCCAAAGGAAGCACCGGCUAACUCCGUGCCAGCAGCCGCGGUAAUACGGAGGGUGCAAGCGUUAAUCGGAAUUACUGGGCGUAAAGCGCUCGUAGGCUGUCAUGUAAGUCAGGGGUGAAAGCCCACGGCUCACCCGUGGAACUGCCCUUGAUACUGCGUGACUGGAGUCCGGGAGAGGAUGGCGGAAUUCCAGGUGUAGGAGUGAAAUCCGUAGAUAUCUGGAGGAACAUCAGUGGCGAAGGCGGCCAUCUGGACCGGAACUGACGCUGAGGAGCGAAAGCGUGGGUAGCAAACAGG